GACCACGCGGCCUAAUGGACAAGGCGUCUGACUUCGGAUCAAAAGAUUGAGGUUUCGAGUCCCUUCGUGGUUG
Non-coding RNA from Gasterosteus aculeatus (three-spined stickleback), 73 nucleotides. The record is from Rfam. Lineage: Eukaryota; Metazoa; Chordata; Actinopteri; Perciformes; Gasterosteidae.